RNAcentral lists this ribosomal RNA (329 nucleotides) under uncultured eukaryote. RNAcentral describes it as "partial 18S ribosomal RNA". It matches the Rfam family "Eukaryotic small subunit ribosomal RNA", at positions 1470 to 1796 of the family's 1831-position model. The record is from RNAcentral.
CCCUUAGAUGUUCUGGGCCGCACGCGCGCUACACUGACUGACUCAACGAGUGUACAACCUGCUUCGACAGAAGUGGGUAAUCUUUUGAAAUUCAGUCGUGAUGGGGCUAGAUUAUUGCAACUAUUAAUCUUCAACGAGGAAUGCCUAGUAAGCGCGAAUCAUCAGUUCGCGUUGAUUACGUCCCUGCCCUUUGUACACACCGCCCGUCGCUACUACCGAUUGAACGUUUUAGUGAGGUACUCGGACUGAGCCUCAGAAGAUUCACGUCUUUUGUGCUGCUCGGGAAGAUUCCCAAACUUGAGCGUUUAGAGGAAGUAAAAGUCGUAACA